This 259-nucleotide long non-coding RNA is filed under the name Aquilegia coerulea. Its description in RNAcentral is "long non-coding RNA (ACOE_LNC000585)". The record is from RNAcentral. Lineage: Eukaryota; Viridiplantae; Streptophyta; Magnoliopsida; Ranunculales; Ranunculaceae.
CCUUAGUGAAUCCCCUGUUUUCUGCAGCUAAGUUGACUUCAGCUUUCUGUGCUCUUUGUUUCUUUGGGAAUGGAUCAUCUACGACUCCUUGCAACUUCCCCUUUCCUUUCUUGCGUGCAUAUUUAGCUGAUCUGCAAACAGGAUCAUGGUGUGAUAUCAUUUGUUGAUCAGAAUCUUUCUUCUUUCUAUCUCCGUGUUUUCUAUUCACCACCACUUUGAACUCUGACAAGUUGUUAUUUUCAUUCACAGCAAAACUAGC